AUGGAACAGUGUGGACAUGAAAGUGAAAACAUCUGCCAUUGUGACUAUAAAUGUUUAAGAAACGAGUCCUGCGUACCUGCCUCCUUCAGUUUUCCAUCUGUAAGGUACCACUUAUUGGGUGCUUGCUAUUUGUGGAGCAAAAAGAAUGCUGAAGCAAGAAGGCAGCCUCGAAGGGGUGCUGUUCAGAGCCAAUUUACAAUUAUGAAGGAAGCCAGAUUGAAGAAAAUGCCAAAAAGUACAAAAGGGAAGGCCAAACUGAAAGAAUUUCAGAACAUCAGAGUCUGGGCCAUGAUGCACCCAGGCUUCAUGAUAUAUGAGGUAAUGCUUUUCCUACUUGUUUAUACUUCUUAUAGUCAAGCACAUUGUAAUUCAUGCAGCUCCUUAAGAAAAUGGGAAUCUGUGUGGUGUGGUAGAACUGCUGAGGUGGGUCUUCAUGGGGGGAACCCAGAUUUUAAAUGGUGAAAUGUUUAUAUAAUGCAACUAAAAAUAUUUGCUUCUUAUUGAUUAGCUUUUUUUUUUUUUAACACAAAACAGAGAUGUUCACUGUGACCUCAAGUGGAUUCUUCUCCACCAAUCCAAAAUUUUAUCCCAGGUAUUACAUUUAUCUUAAUUAUAACAUAGUGAUGAUCACUUGAUGAGCUGGUCAUGUAUGAUACAGCUGGUUGUGCUGGUCAUAAAUGAUACAUAACUAUAUGAACCUUAAAAAUCCUCAAAAAUAUGAUGUUGAGUUUAUAAAGCUGUCUAAAUUAUGUUGGAAAAGGGGGACAUUUAGUCCAUAUGACUGAGAAAAAAGAAUUCAUUAUGACAGUUCAGUUCAUUUCAAGAUGGCUGCUCUUAGGAAAAGUAUUUGUUGUCUUUCUAGAAAAAAUGUAAAUAUUCUUCACAGUGUGUCAUAUCUCUGGUGGCUUGAAGAAUUGGAGAGUGAAGGGGUUUAUGCUAUAAAAUGAUUAUUUUCAGCAUUUCUAUCAAAUAGAUUAUAAGGAAGUGAAUUACAUAUGGUCCAAACUGGUUUGAAGCAGAAUAAAUUCAUUCAUAUCUUCA
Molecule: long non-coding RNA, 1041 nt
Filed under: Sus scrofa (pig)
Lineage: Eukaryota; Metazoa; Chordata; Mammalia; Artiodactyla; Suidae
Description: lncRNA (ENSSSCG00025048185.1, ENSSSCG00065039799.1)
Source: RNAcentral